UACAGAGGGUGCGAGCGUUGUCCGGAAUCACUGGGCGUAAAUGGCGCGUAGGUGGCGCUGCAAGUCGGUGGUGAAAGCUCGUCGCUUAACGACGAGUCGGCCAUCGAAACUGCAGGGCUCGAGCACUGUAGGGGCUAAUGGAAUUCCGGGUGUAGCGGUGGAAUGCGUAGAGAUCCGGAAGAACACCAGUGGCGAAGGCGGUUAGCUGGGCAGUUGCUGACACUGAUGCGCGACAGCGUGGGGAGCAAACAGG
Molecule: ribosomal RNA, 253 nt
Filed under: uncultured bacterium
Lineage: Bacteria
Description: partial 16S ribosomal RNA
Rfam family: Bacterial small subunit ribosomal RNA
Source: RNAcentral